UUGGUCUUCAAAUGCCGAGAGUGUCAAAGUUAGUUAGCUACUUUAGCACGUGGCUAUGAACUUGCUUAGGUUAUCUAGCGGUUAGCAGCAAGGCGCCCCAGGUUUCUUUUCAGUUGUUUCAGAGCUCCGAUUGAGUCAAUUACAACAAAAGGUUAUUUCACAGCUAAACUUGUUUGUCUUUCAUAAAUUACAGAUCAUAAAACAGCGUAAAGUCAUUGAUUUUGGCUAAUCUUACCUUGUUAUUCUGUUUGUUUGGGAUGUAAACAGCAUCAUGGUCGUACAAAAAACUUAAAACCACUUUAAAAUGUUUUACUUCUGUGUACUGUAUUUCAGGAUGCAAUGCCCUGCAGAACAACCUAAAAAAGAGGUUCCCAAACGAGCCUGCAACCCACCUAAGACAUUUGAUGAACCAGCUCCUGGCUCACCAAAAGAUGACCAAGAUGGUGGUGACCAACUUAAUGCUUUUAAAAGCUUUUUGGUGAGUAUUGAGCAACUACGACCUAGAGUUGGUGUAGGUCACCAACACCAACAGAGGCACCAUCAGAGGAGUGCCAAAAUGCAGUGGCAUUUGGGAAACAUGGAAAAGUGCCAGAGGGGAAGACAGUCUUGGAGAAGUCAAAAGUAAAUGGGAUUUUAACUUACGUCAUGCACUGUGGCACAUGGAGAGGGUGGACACCAGUGGAGAAAGCAAAGGCCAAGAAAGCCCUCAUAAACAAGUGUCGCAUGAGGGCUAAGGGCUUGAAUGUGGCACAUUGAAUGGACAUUUUGAGACCAUCUAAUUAAGAAAUGCUGCAUGA
Labrus mixtus (cuckoo wrasse) is the source of this 797-nucleotide long non-coding RNA. RefSeq lists it as uncharacterized. The record is from RefSeq and is a predicted model, not a curated record. NCBI's taxonomy places the organism in Eukaryota, Metazoa, Chordata, Actinopteri, Labriformes, Labridae. The transcript has 3 exons.